Molecule: non-coding RNA, 31 nt
Filed under: Rattus norvegicus (Norway rat)
Lineage: Eukaryota; Metazoa; Chordata; Mammalia; Rodentia; Muridae
Source: RNAcentral
UUGAAUGUUAUGACACCCUCCUACUUUCUGA